Molecule: ribosomal RNA, 37 nt
Filed under: Umbilicaria aprina
Lineage: Eukaryota; Fungi; Ascomycota; Lecanoromycetes; Umbilicariales; Umbilicariaceae
Description: partial 26S ribosomal RNA
Source: RNAcentral
GAUCCUUCCGCAGGUUCACCUACGGAAACCUUGUUAC